RNAcentral lists this ribosomal RNA (460 nucleotides) under uncultured bacterium. RNAcentral describes it as "partial 16S ribosomal RNA". It matches the Rfam family "Bacterial small subunit ribosomal RNA", at positions 338 to 795 of the family's 1533-position model. The record is from RNAcentral.
CCUACGGGUGGCAGCAGUGAGGAAUAUUGGUCAAUGGGCGUAAGCCUGAACCAGCCAAGUAGCGUGAAGGAGGAAGGUACAGAGUAUCGUAAACCUCUUUUGUCAGGGAACAAAGGCGGGGACGUGUCCCCGGAUGAGUGUACCUGAAGAAAAAGCAUCGGCUAACUCCGUGCCAGCAGCCGCGGGAAUACGGGGGAUUCGAGCGUUAUCCGGAUUUAUUGGGUUUAAAGGGUGCGCAGGCGGUCCGUUAAGUCAGGGGGGAAAUGCCGGGGCUCAACCCUGGACCGGCCGUGGAAACUGGCAGACUCGAGUUGGAGAGAGGUAGGCGGAAUGCGCGGUGUAGCGGUGAAAUGCGUAGAUAUCGCGCAGAACUCCGAUUGCGAAGGCAGCAUGCCGGCUCCACACUGACGCUGAGGCACGAAAGCGUGGGUAUCGAACAGGAUUAGAUACCCGAGUAGUC